CGGAGGCAGCAGUGAGGAAUAUUGGACAAUGGGCGCAAGCCUGAUCCAGCCAUGCCGCGUGUGUGAAGAAGGCCUUCGGGUUGUAAAGCACUUUUGUUGGGGAAGAAAAGACACCGGUUAAUACCCGGGGUUUCUGACGGUACCCAAAGAAUAAGCACCGGCUAACUUCGUGCCAGCAGCCGCGGUAAUACGAAGGGUGCAAGCGUUACUCGGAAUUACUGGGCGUAAAGCGUGCGUAGGUGGUUCGUUAAGUCAGAUGUGAAAGCCCCGGGCUCAACCUGGGAAUUGCAUUUGAUACUGGCGGGCUAGAGUGCGGUAGAGGAGAGUGGAAUUCCCGGUGUAGCAGUGAAAUGCGUAGAGAUCGGGAGGAACAUCAGUUGCGAAGGCGGCUCUCUGGACCAGCACUGACACUGAGGCACGAAAGCGUGGGGAGCAAACAGGAUUAGAUACCCCGGUAGU
Molecule: ribosomal RNA, 459 nt
Filed under: uncultured bacterium
Lineage: Bacteria
Description: bacterial SSU rRNA
Rfam family: Bacterial small subunit ribosomal RNA
Source: RNAcentral